UAUACUUUAAUAUAAAAUGUAUAUUAAUUUUUGAUUUUAAAAGAGAUAGUGGAAUACUAUUAAGUAUAA
This 69-nucleotide transfer RNA is filed under the name Calomicrus pinicola. RNAcentral's name for it is "tRNA-Gln". Lineage: Eukaryota; Metazoa; Arthropoda; Insecta; Coleoptera; Chrysomelidae. The record is from RNAcentral.